CACCGAUAAUGGCAAACCUGCCCGAAAGGCAGGGACGCAAAGCUAAAGGGCCUAAGCUUCGUUAGAAGUAUGGCAGCCAGCUACCGAA
Molecule: non-coding RNA, 88 nt
Filed under: Paenibacillus sp.
Lineage: Bacteria; Bacillati; Bacillota; Bacilli; Caryophanales; Paenibacillaceae
Also listed under: 2 other names
Description: c-di-GMP sequence
Rfam family: c-di-GMP-I riboswitch aptamer
About the family: GEMM was predicted in a large-scale screen for bacterial structured RNA regulatory elements.
Source: RNAcentral